Molecule: long non-coding RNA, 2544 nt
Organism: Taeniopygia guttata (zebra finch)
Lineage: Eukaryota; Metazoa; Chordata; Aves; Passeriformes; Estrildidae
Source: Ensembl
AUGAACUGGGAGGGACUGGGAGGGACUGGGAGGGACUGGGAUCAAACUGGGAGGGACUGGGAUCAAACUGGGAGGGACUGGGAGGGACUGGGAUCAAACUGGGAGGGGUUACUGGGUAGGAUUGGGGGUUACUGGUUUAUACUGGGAGCACUGGGAGCCAAACUGGGUCAUACUGGGACCACUGGGAUCUAUACUGGGAGCACUGGGAGCCAUACUGGGAGCACUGGGAGCCAAACUGGGAAUACUGGGAGAGGGUUUGGGUCAUACUGGUCCAUACUGGGAGCACUGGGAGGGGUCACUGGUUCAUACUGGGAGCACUGGGAGCCAUACUGGGAAUACUGGGAGAGGGUUGGGGCCAUACUGGUCCAUACUGGGAACACUGGGAGGGGUCACUGGUUCAUACUGGGAGCACUGGGAGCCAAACUGGGAGCACUGGGAGGGGUCACUGGUUUAUACUGGGAGCACUUAGAGCCAAACUGGGAAUACUGGUUUGUACUGGGAGCACUGGGAGGGGGUUUGGGGUCAAACUGGGAGCACUGGGAGCGGUUACUGGUUCAUACUGGGAGCACUGGGAGCCAUACUGGGAAUGCUGGGAGAGGGUUGGGGCCAUACUGGUCCAUACUGGGAGCACUGGGAGGGGUCACUGGUCCAUACUGGGAGCACUGGGAUGGGGUUUGGGUCAUACUGGUCCAUACUGGGAGCACUGGGAGGGGUCACUGGUCCAUACUGGGAGCACUGGGAGCCAUACUGGGAGCGGUUACUGGUUCAUACUGGGAGCACUGGGAGCGGUUACUGGUCCAUACUGGGAGCACUGGGAGCCAUACUGGGAGCACUGGGAGAGGGUUUGGGUCAUACUGGUCCAUACUGGGAGCACUGGGAUGGGGUUUGGGGUCAUACUGGGAGCACUGGGAGAGGGUUUGGGUCAUACUGGUCCAUACUGGGAGCACUGGGAGGGGUCACUGGUUCAUACUGGGAGCACUGGGAGCGGUUACUGGUUCAUACUGGGAGCACUGGGAGCCAAACUGGUCCAUACUGGGAGCACUGGGAGGGGUCACUGGUCCAUACUGGGAGCACUGGGAGGGGUCACUGGUCCAUACUGGGAACACUGGGAUGGGGUUUGGGGUCAUACUGGGAGCACUGGUUUGUACUGGGAGAGGGUUUGGGCCAUACUGGUCCAUACUGGGAACACUGAGAGGGGUCACUGGUCCAUACUGGGAGCACUGGGAGCCAAACUGGUCCAUACUGGGAGCACUGGGAGCCAAACUGGUCCAUACUGGGAACACUGGGAUGGGGUUUGGGGCCAUACUGGGAGCACUGGUUUGUACUGGGAGAGGGUUUGGGCCAUACUGGUCCAUACUGGGAGCACUGGGAGGGGUUGUUGGGAUAUACUGGGAGAUUUUGUACUGGUCUGUACUGGUUUAUACUGGUUUAUACUGGUCUGUACUGGUGUGAACUGGUUUAUACUGGUCUAUACUGGUUUAUACUGGUUUAUACCAGUUCAUACUGGUCUGUACUGGUUUAUACUGGUUUAUACUGGUCCAUACUGGUUUAUACUGGUGUGAACUGGUUUAUACUGGUGUGAACUGGUUUAUACUGGUUUAUACUGGUCCAUACUGGUUUAUACCAGUUCAUACUGGUUUAUACUGGUCCAUACUGGUCCAUACUGGUCCAUACCGGUCCAUACUGGUUUAUACUGGUUCAUACUGGUCCGUACUGGUCCAUACUGGUCCAUACUGGUUUAUACUGGUCCAUACUGGUUUAAACUGGUCCAUACUGGUCCAUACUGGUUUAUACUGGUCCAUACUGGUCCAUACCAGUCCAUACUGGUUUAUACUGGUUCAUACUGGUCCGUACUGGUCCAUACUGGUCCAUACUGGUUUAUACCGGUCCAUACUGGUCCAUACUGGUUUAUCCUGGUCCAUACUGGUCCAUACUGGUUUAUACCGGUCCAUACUGGUCCAUACUGGUUUAUCCUGGUCCAUACUGGUCCAUACUGGUCCAUACUGGUUUAUACCAGCUCAUACUGGUCCAUACUGGUUUAUACUGGUCCAUACUGGUUUAUACUGGUUUAAACUGGUCCAUACUGGUCCAUACUGGUUUAUCCUGGUCCAUACUGGUCCAUACUGGUCCAUACUGGUCCGUACUGGUCCAUACUGGUCCAUACUGGUCCAUACUGGUUUAUACUGGUCCAUACUGGUCCAUACUGGUCCAUACUGGUUUAAACUGGUCCGUACUGGUCCCCCAGGCCAUGCCCGACCCCCGCCUGGACCGGGGCCGCUUUCCCUCCCUCCGCCUCACGGGGGCGCCGCGGGCCCCGCCCCCCUCGGGCCGCCGCGCGGGGCUGUGGCGCCGCCUGGCGGCCGCGGGCGGGAACUGCGGCUGCUGCGGCUGCUGCGGGCGGAGCGGCGGCGGCGGCGGAGAGUGGGAACCGAUCCCGGGAGAGACGCCGGGACGGAGAACGGCGCAGCCAGUGCGGCCAGGUAAGGGUUAAACACCGGGGGGAUUUUGGGGGGGCUCCGGUAACGGAGAGGUGCGGCCAUGUUU